GACGAACGCUGGCGGCGUGCUUAACACAUGCAAGUCGAACGGAAAGGCCCUGCUUUUGGGGGGUGCUCGAGUGGCGAACGGGUAAGUAACACGUGAGUAACCUGCCCUUGACUUUGGGAUAACUUCAGGAAACUGGGGCUAAUACCGGAUAGGAGCUCCUGCUGCAUGGUGGGGGUUGGAAAGUUUCGGCGGUUGGGGAUGGACUCGCGGCUUAUCAGCUUGUUGGUGGGGUAGUGGCUUACCAAGGCUUUGACGGGUAGCCGGCCUGAGAGGGUGACCGGCCACAUUGGGACUGAGAUACGGCCCAGACUCCUACGGGAGGCAGCAGUGGGGAAUAUUGCACAAUGGGCGGAAGCCUGAUGCAGCAACGCCGCGUGCGGGAUGACGGCCUUCGGGUUGUAAACCGCUUUCGCCUGUGACGAAGCGUGAGUGACGGUAAUGGGUAAAGAAGCACCGGCUAACUACGUG
This 468-nucleotide ribosomal RNA is filed under the name uncultured bacterium. RNAcentral describes it as "partial 16S ribosomal RNA". It matches the Rfam family "Bacterial small subunit ribosomal RNA", at positions 28 to 507 of the family's 1533-position model. The record is from RNAcentral.